UUUACUCUACGGGAGGCAGCAGUGGGGAAUAUUGCACAAUGGGCGCAAGCCUGAUGCAGCGACGCCGCGUGAGGGAUGACGGCCUUCGGGUUGUAAACCUCUUUCAGUAGGGAAGAAGCGAAAGUGACGGUACCUGCAGAAGAAGCGCCGGCUAACUACGUGCCAGCAGCCGCGGUAAUACGUAGGGCGCAAGCGUUAUCCGGAAUUAUUGGGCGUAAAGAGCUCGUAGGCGGUUUGUCGCGUCUGCCGUGAAAGUCCGGGGCUCAACUCCGGAUCUGCGGUGGGUACGGGCAGACUAGAGUGAUGUAGGGGAGACUGGAAUUCCUGGUGUAGCGGUGAAAUGCGCAGAUAUCAGGAGGAACACCGAUGGCGAAGGCAGGUCUCUGGGCAUUAACUGACGCUGAGGAGCGAAAGCAUGGGGAGCGAACAGGAUUAGAUACCCUGGUAGUCCAUGCCGUAAACGUUGGGCACUAGGUGUGGGGGACAUUCCACGUUUUCCGCGCCGUAGCUAACGCAUUAAGUGCCCCGCCUGGGGAGUACGGCCGCAAGGCUAAAACUCAAAGGAAUUGACGGGGGCCCGCACAAGCGGCGGAGCAUGCGGAUUAAGUCGAUGCAACGCGAAGAACCUUACCAAGGCUUGACAUGGACCGGACCGCCGCAGAAAUGUGUUUCCCCUUGG
This 679-nucleotide ribosomal RNA is filed under the name Arthrobacter sp. Its description in RNAcentral is "bacterial SSU rRNA". It matches the Rfam family "Bacterial small subunit ribosomal RNA", at positions 332 to 1024 of the family's 1533-position model. Lineage: Bacteria; Bacillati; Actinomycetota; Actinomycetes; Micrococcales; Micrococcaceae. The record is from RNAcentral.